CACACCACACCUGGCUAAUUUUAUUUUUGUGUGUGUGAUUUUUUUCCUGUAGAGACAAAAUCUCACUAUAUUGACCAGGCUGGGAGAGCCAGUGCUUUAGAAGUCUCUAGAAUUAUUCCUGUUUCAAGUGUUUGGGUUUAUGGUGGUAAACACAAGGGUAGCUGGUUAGGGUAGGAAGAGUACUGAUGAACUGAGUUAGGGAAGCGUUCAGGGACAUCCAGGUGAAAGGGUCAGCAGAUAACUCAGAGAUGAGUGUAGAACUCCAAGAAGUUUGCACUGGACAAGAAGACUCGAGAGUUAGGAAUGAGCCAAAUAGAGUUUAAGUUAGGGCUGCAUGGAACUCACUCUGGAAAACCCUGAGGAUGUGCAUCGUAGGCUCUCAGCUCAGUGAAUGGCUGAGUGAGUGUCUGGGAAGCAGGGACAGGGUUUGGGGGGAUGUGGAAGAUGGCAGACACCCACAGGUCAGAACUAGUGGCCACAGAGAUUCAGUCAUUCAAGCAGCAUUUUUGAGUGCCAGCAAUGUGCCUGGCAUGAGGUUAAAUGACCAUAGUUACCUCAAGGAUCAGCUCUGAGAGCAAACAGCCAACAUGUAGCACCAUGAACGUCCUGGGAGAGACGUCUCAGCAGCUCACGGCAGCCUCAGCACGAACUGCCUGGGAUUGGGGGCCACAUGUACGGAAAACUCAUCUCUUAGCCAGUUGUGCCUGGCACAUGGGUUGGGUAAGGGAAGAAAGCUAACAGUACUGGGCAGCUAUGAGGUGCCAGGCACUGUGCUAGCUUUAAAUGCAUUUUCACUGAGCAAAGCCAGGAGAAGCAGCAGCGUGGGGUAGUGGUUAAGAGUGUGGCUCUGGCACCAGGUAGUCUGGGUUCAAAUGAUUUAACCUCUCUGAGCCUGUUUUCCCUUCUACACAUCAUUCCUGCGAGGGCCAAACAAAUCCAUCCACAUUCAGCAUCUGGAGCAGUUCCUGGCUUGAGGCUGCGUCAACGAUCGGAAGAAACAACUGAGGCAGCUCUUCUGCUCCCUUCAAGUUCAGAAGAAAGCUUCCAGUUGAUCCCCAGCUGCCAGGAGGAAAUCAGCCUUAGCAGGCCUUGUGUUUGAGAUUGGGAGCUGAGCCAGAAACCGGAAAACCCUGGGCUCAUGGGCAGGACAGCUUCGGGAGUUGAGUGUCAAGCCCGAAGGGAAGACUUUUGGAAGGAAAAUACUGGCAAAUCCAAGAAGUGAACCAGCCGACUUUAGGAAAGCCAGAAGCCAGGCUACUCUAGACCUUCUGCCUUCAGAGCAUGAGGACUUCUCCCACUCAUCCCUGUACCUGAGGCACACCAACCCAGACAGGUCCAGGCAUGGACUCCAGGUUCCCUAUUUCCAGAAGGAAUGCGAUUAGCUUUUUUUGGCCCAGCACCCACCCUGCCAGGGAGGAAGGGGCAAUUUUCCAGUGAUGAAAUUGUGAAUCAGGCAGUCACACUGGACAACAUCUAGCAAGGUGAAUUCUGCAACUCCCUACUUUAUUUACAUUUUAAAAUAAGCAAUAUAUUCAUACGGUUUAAAAUCCAAAGUUUACAAAAGGGUAUAGGGUGACAUCUCCUUCCCUCCCACCUGUGCGCCCCAACCCUGCAGGUGCUGUUCUGAGGGAAUCACACUGUGCUUGCACAAAAAUUAUUAGCUUAUAAGACACCAGCCUUCCCCUUGCUUUCCUCACUUGAUGUAUCUUGGAGCUUGUUCCUUAUUCUUGAUUAUAGUUGUAUGGUAUUGCACUAUCUGGAGCUAACACCUGUGACCCACACUCAUGUUUUAAAAGUUUCUGCAUUAGUCAAAAAUAUUUAAAAGGAGAUUCAACUUCACAACCCAUAUGUCUAGCUUCUCUUGAAAACACGUAAGAACUGGCCAUGACAGCCUGUGUUUCUAUGUAACUAUGAGCCAGAGCCAAGGAGCGGGGGGACCAGGAGAGGUGUGCCCCUGCCAUGCUGCCAUUUGUUAUCACCCGCCUGUCAAAUCACAGGUUUAUUUCAAGGCAAGAACCAUGUUCAUAGGUUGUAUUCUAAAUGGAGUGGCGUGCCCUUACUGAAGGACUAGAUGAGGCAAAUAAAGACUAGUUGCUGCUAUUCA
Molecule: long non-coding RNA, 2104 nt
Filed under: Homo sapiens (human)
Lineage: Eukaryota; Metazoa; Chordata; Mammalia; Primates; Hominidae
Description: HSALNT0266316
Source: RNAcentral